UGGGGAAUAUUGCACAAUGGGCGCAAGCCUGAUGCAGCCAUGCCGCGUGUAUGAAGAAGGCCUUCGGGUUGUAAAGUACUUUCAGUCGGGAGGAAGGUGGUAAGGUUAAUAACCUUGGCAAUUGACGUUACCGACAGAAGAAGCACCGGCUAACUCCGUGCCAGCAGCCGCGGUAAUACGGAGGGUGCAAGCGUUAAUCGGAAUUACUGGGCGUAAAGCGCACGCAGGCGGUUGAUUGAGUCAGAUGUGAAAUCCCCGGGCUUAACCCGGGAAUUGCAUCUGAUACUGGUCAGCUAGAGUCUUGUAGAGGGGGGUAGAAUUCCAUGUGUAGCGGUGAAAUGCGUAGAGAUGUGGAGGAAUACCGAUGGCGAAGGCGGCCCCCUGGACAAAGACUGACGCUCAGGUGCGAAAGCGUGGGGAGCAAACAGG
RNAcentral lists this ribosomal RNA (429 nucleotides) under Chloroflexota bacterium. RNAcentral describes it as "Chloroflexi bacterium partial 16S ribosomal RNA". It matches the Rfam family "Bacterial small subunit ribosomal RNA", at positions 355 to 776 of the family's 1533-position model. Lineage: Bacteria; Bacillati; Chloroflexota. The record is from RNAcentral.